Molecule: ribosomal RNA, 1360 nt
Filed under: uncultured bacterium
Lineage: Bacteria
Description: bacterial SSU rRNA
Rfam family: Bacterial small subunit ribosomal RNA
Source: RNAcentral
GGCGCACUGGUGAGUAACACGUGAGUAAUCUACCUCUUGCUCAGGUAUAAUCCCGCGAAAGCGGGACUAAUCCCUGAUAGUAUUAUAAGGUGCGAUUCCUUAUAAUUAAAGAUUUAUCGGCAAGAGAUGAGCUUGCGUCCUAUCAGCUAGAAGGUGUGGUAAUGGCACACCUUGGCUAUGACGGGUAGCUGGUUCGAGAGGACGAUCAGCCACAAUGGGACUGAAACACGGCCCAUACUCCUACGGGAGGCAGCAGUGAGGAAUCUUGCGCAAUGGGCGAAAGCCUGACGCAGCCAUCCCCCAUGAACGAAGAAGCUCUUCGGAGUGUAAAGUUCAAUAGAUAGGGGAAAAAAUCUUGAUAUUACCUAUCGAUAGUCACGGCUAACUACGUGCCAGCAGCCGCGGUAAUACGUAGGUGGCAAGCAUUGCUCGGAAUCAUUGGGCGUAGAGCGCGUGUAGGCGUUUUUGUAAGUUUUUUAUUAAAUCUUCUUUCUUAAAAAGAAGAGUGUAAGGAAUACUGCAAAAAUUGAGGAAGUCAGAGGCGACUGGAACUUGCGGUGUAGGAGUGAAAUCCAUUGAUAUCGCAAGGAACACCGAUGGCGAAGGCAGGUCGCUGGGGCUUAUCUGACGCUGAGACGCGAAAGCGUGGGUAGCGAACGGGAUUAGAUACCCCGGUAGUCCACGCCGUAAACGAUGCAGACUAGUCAUUGAAGAGAAUCGACCCUCUCAGUGGCGAAGCUAACGCGUUAAGUCUGCCGCCUGGGUAGUACGGCCGCAAGGCUAAAACUCAAAGGAAUUGACGGGGACCCGCACAAGUGGUGGAGCAUGUGGUUUAAUUCGUCAAUAAGCGAGGAACCCUUACCGAGGCUUGACAUCUCUGGAAUUCUCUAGAGAUAGAGAAGUGUCUUCGGAAACCAGAUGACAGGUGCUGCACGGCUGUCGUCAGCUCGUAUCGUGAGAUGUACCGUUAAGUCGGGUAACGAGCGCAACCCUCAUGCUGUGUUAUAUUCUCACAGCAGACUGCCCCGGUUAACGGGGAGGAAGGUGGGGAUGACGUCAAGUCAGCGUGGCUCUUUCGCCUCGGGCGACACACGUGCUACAAUGGUUGCUACAAAGGGUCGCUAAGCUGAAAGGUGGAGCUAAUCCCAUCAAAAGCAAUCAUAGUUCGGAUUGAAGGCUGCAACUCGCCUUCAUGAAGCUGGAAUCACUAGUAACCGCGUAUCUGCCAUGGCGUGGUGAAUGCGUUCCCGGGUCUUGUACACACCGCCCGUCAUACCACGAAAGCUGGUAGUACUCGAAGCCCCGCUUUGCGGGGUCACGGUAAGACCAGUGAUCAGGGUAAAGUCGUAACAAGGUAACC